RNAcentral lists this ribosomal RNA (492 nucleotides) under uncultured bacterium. RNAcentral's name for it is "partial 16S ribosomal RNA". It matches the Rfam family "Bacterial small subunit ribosomal RNA", at positions 29 to 507 of the family's 1533-position model. The record is from RNAcentral.
AGUGAACGCUGGCGGCAGGCCUAACACAUGCAAGUCGAACGGCAGCACAUGAAGUGCUUUCUCGUACGGGUGGCGAGUGGCGGACGGGUGAGGAGUACAUCGGAAUCUACUUUCUCGUGGGUGAUAACGUAGGGAAGCUUACGCUAAUUCCUCAUAGGACCUACUGCUGGAUGCAGGGGAUCUUGGGACCUUGCGUGCUUGAAUUUGCGGAUGUCGGAUUGGCUUGUCGGCGUGGUAAAGGCCCACUGAGCCGACGAUCCGUAGCUGGUCUGAGAGGAUGAGCGGCCACACUGGAACUGGGACACGGUCCCGACUCAUACGGGAGGCAGCAGUGGGGAAUGGUGAACAAGGGGCGCAAGCCUGAUCCAGCCAUACCGCGUGGGUGAGGAAGGCCUUCGGGUUGUAGAGCCCUUUUGUUGGGGAAGAAAAGCAGCAGGUUAAGACCGCGCGGUUCUGACGGUACCCAAAGAAUAAGCACCGGCUAACUACGUG